This 65-nucleotide transfer RNA is filed under the name Pseudochirops albertisii (D'Albertis' ringtail). RNAcentral describes it as "tRNA-Lys". Lineage: Eukaryota; Metazoa; Chordata; Mammalia; Diprotodontia; Pseudocheiridae. The record is from RNAcentral.
AAUUUUUGAGGAAACCAACAGUAAACUGUAAGUAUACUAAGAAUUAAAUCAUUCCCUCAAAACUA